This 72-nucleotide transfer RNA is filed under the name Camelus dromedarius (Arabian camel). It matches the Rfam family "tRNA". Rfam says of the family: Transfer RNA (tRNA) molecules are approximately 80 nucleotides in length. Their secondary structure includes four short double-helical elements and three loops (D, anti-codon, and T loops). The record is from Rfam by way of RNAcentral. Lineage: Eukaryota; Metazoa; Chordata; Mammalia; Artiodactyla; Camelidae. RNAcentral also lists the same sequence under 1 other name.
GAGGGUAUAGUUCAGUGGUAGAGUGCAUGCCUAGCAUGCAUAAGGUCAUGGGUUCAAUCCCCAAUAUUUCCA